This 433-nucleotide ribosomal RNA is filed under the name uncultured bacterium. RNAcentral's name for it is "partial 16S ribosomal RNA". It matches the Rfam family "Bacterial small subunit ribosomal RNA", at positions 29 to 507 of the family's 1533-position model. The record is from RNAcentral.
AACGAACGCUGGCGGCAUGCCUAACACAUGCAAGUCGAACGAUACCUUCGGGUCUAGUGGCGCACGGGUGCGUAACGCGUGGGAUCAUGCCCUUAUGUUCGGAAUUACUCCCCGAAAGGGGUGCUAAUACCUGAUACUUUCUUCGGAUAAAAGAUUUCACCCCUUUGGAUGGGUCCGCGUUGUAUUUGCUAGUUGGUAGGGUAAAAGCCUACCAAGGCUACGAUUCAUAGCUGGUCUGAGAGGAGGAGCAGCUACACUGGGACUGAGACACGGCCCAGACUCCUACGGGAGGGAGCAGUGGGGAAUAUUGGACAAUGGGCGAAAGCCUGAUGAAGCAAUGCCACGUGAGUGAGGAAGGCCGUAGUGUUGUAAAGCUCGUUUAGCCGAGACGAUAAUGACAGUACCGGGAGAAUAAGCACCGGCUAACUCCGUG